RNAcentral lists this long non-coding RNA (1341 nucleotides) under Homo sapiens (human). Lineage: Eukaryota; Metazoa; Chordata; Mammalia; Primates; Hominidae. The record is from RNAcentral.
UGCCCUUAGGUUUUACUUUCCAAGCCAAUGGCCCCUGGAACAUGCCAGCACACACUGCCAUGUCCUGGGGCUAAGAGCUGCCUUUAGGGACAGGCUCGUGUUGUCCAGUUUGCCCUGAGAGAUGCACCUGACCAGGGGCCCGUCGUGGCUGCAACCCACGGUGGUAUGUUAGUGUUUCCAGGCAGUUGUCAGCAGCUGCCGGGUAGUGUGUGUGUGCGACAGCAGGAGAGUUCCUGGAGGAAAGGGACUGGGGACACUUUCUCAGAGGUUCUCCUGCCUGGAAUCAAGUGAUGCGUGUCCAGAAGGCAAGAGAGGGCGGCUCCGCCUGGUUAAAGUUUGGGAACGGGACGGAGCCAACUCCUCCUUCCAGGACUGUGGGCCCCACUCUUUUGCGCUAACACUUCCCCUCCCUCGGGUCACUGAGGAAAGAGCUGCUCUGUCCCCUCCAGUGCCCUGAAGGUCCCUGGCCUCCACUGGCUGCCAUGGCAGGGGGCCCUUCUGACAGGGGCUGCCCCAAGCUGCUGUUCCUCCUCUGAACCUUCACCCCAACACCCAGCCCGUGGCCCCUGCAAGGGGGACCCUGCCAGCUGGGAAACCCAAAGGCCUGUCCAAAUGCGCGCACCAGGACCGAGGGGAGCUCCCUCCCCACAUCUGCUGCGAAUUGCCAGCUUUUAAAUGGAUGGGGUUUUUUAUGGGUUGAACCUCUGUUAAUACUUUUGUACACUCUCACUACAGUUUAUAUUUUUAUAGGCUAUUUUCUCAAGGUGUUUCUAGAUUCCACAUAUCUAUUUUAUAUAACAAGUUCUUAUGUUAUGUGUGUGACUCCCUUGUGUGUAUCUGUGCCAGCCUCAGCCUCCGAGUUGCUUUUCCCUCUGGCCCUGACUCUCACUGACUCACCGAUGUGAUGUGCAGGCCCACUUCUUACCCCAGAUAGCCUCGGGUGCUGCCUGUAGUCAUGCUGACAGCUGUACAGUAGCCGCCAAGACUGCUGACGGCUGGAGACGGUUCUGGUUUCAACAACUACGGUAUAUUGAUAUCGGAAGUAUUCUAGACAGAUCCUCAGUUGGGUUUUCUAGCUACAUGUUUGUAUUGCACAGAUCCCCACCUGCCAUCCUAUAGUGUUGUCUUCCUGUGUGUUCCGGGGCUUCUGGGCAGCUGGGCCUGCCCGGGGAAGUCCUUGCAGGUGGGAGGCCAUACAGAGACCCAGUGUGUGCCACUGAGCGUCCCACCGCUGCUGGGCAACUGGAGGACUGCAGGGGGCGCCAGGUGACUCUCUCCUUUUAUAUCACAGCAGCUCCUGUGCUGACCUUCAAGUUAUGUUUUGGAACUGUAAUACUAAAG